Molecule: non-coding RNA, 74 nt
Filed under: Piscirickettsia sp.
Lineage: Bacteria; Pseudomonadati; Pseudomonadota; Gammaproteobacteria; Thiotrichales; Piscirickettsiaceae
Description: Fluoride sequence
Rfam family: Fluoride riboswitch aptamer (crcB RNA motif)
Source: RNAcentral
UCUCUGGCAGGUGAUGGAGUUCACCUUAAGCAAUCGCUUUAAACCGCACUCAUGCUAAUGACUCCUGCUACAAU